ACACAUGCAGUCGAACGGUAAGGCCCUUUCGGGGGUACACGAGUGGCGAACGGGUGAGUAACACGUGGGUAAUCUGCCCUGCACUUCGGGAUAAGCCUGGGAAACCGGGUCUAAUACCGGAUAUGAGCUCCUGCCGCAUGGUGGGGGUUGGAAAGUUUUUCGGUGCAGGAUGAGUCCGCGGCCUAUCAGCUUGUUGGUGGGGUAAUGGCCUACCAAGGCGACGACGGGUAGCCGGCCUGAGAGGGUGAUCGGCCACACUGGGACUGAGACACGGCCCAGACUCCUACGGGAGGCAGCAGUGGGGAAUAUUGCACAAUGGGCGAAAGCCUGAUGCAGCGACGCCGCGUGGGGGAUGACGGUCUUCGGAUUGUAAACUCCUUUCAGUAGGGACGAAGCGAAAGUGACGGUACCUGCAGAAGAAGCACCGGCCAACUACGUGCCAGCAGCCGCGGUAAUACGUAGGGUGCAAGCGUUGUCCGGAAUUACUGGGCGUAAAGAGCUCGUAGGCGGUUUGUCACGUCGUCUGUGAAAUCCUCCAGCUCAACUGGGGGCGUGCAGGCGAUACGGGCAGACUUGAGUACUACAGGGGAGACUGGAAUUCCUGGUGUAGCGGUGAAAUGCGCAGAUAUCAGGAGGAACACCGGUGGCGA
Molecule: ribosomal RNA, 650 nt
Filed under: unidentified microorganism
Description: bacterial SSU rRNA
Rfam family: Bacterial small subunit ribosomal RNA
Source: RNAcentral